Molecule: ribosomal RNA, 247 nt
Filed under: uncultured bacterium
Lineage: Bacteria
Description: partial 16S ribosomal RNA
Rfam family: Bacterial small subunit ribosomal RNA
Source: RNAcentral
AUACGUAGGGAGCGAGCGUUGUCCGGAAUUAUUGGGCGUAAAGGGCUUGUAGGUGGCUUGUCGCGUCUGCCGUGAAAGGCUUCAGCUUAACUGGAGUAGUGCGGUGGGUACGGGCUGGCUUGAGUGUGGUAGGGGAGACUGGAAUUCCUGGUGUAGCGGUGGAAUGCGCAGAUAUCAGGAGGAACACCGGUGGCGAAGGCGGGUCUCUGGGCCAUUACUGACACUGAGGAGCGAAAGCGUGGGGAGC